Molecule: non-coding RNA, 3105 nt
Organism: Peromyscus maniculatus bairdii (prairie deer mouse)
Lineage: Eukaryota; Metazoa; Chordata; Mammalia; Rodentia; Cricetidae
Source: RefSeq, a predicted model, not a curated record
CCCCACCCGCGGCUCCGCGCGCCUCGCCCUGACACCACCCUCCGCGGCCCUCUCCCGACCCUCGGCCCCCCAGGACUCCCCUCUGGUCCUCCCCUAGGAAAGGGGCCUCUCGCCAAGUCUCCGCCUUCCCGUCCUCCCCUUGUCAAUGUCGCUGUCCAGCGUCCGCCGCCUUAGGAACGCCACCCCACCUGGGCCUCCUUCUCCAGGGACCCCCUGGGCCCCACCCCCAGGACCUCCCACCUCUGGAAGCCCAGCGUUUGCUUUUCCCAAUCCACUCGGCGGCUCGUCUCCACGCCCACCUGACUGGACCCGGAAGCCCGAAGAAGUUAGCCGGGGAUUUCGGCGAUAGGGCAGGCGGAGCAGAAUUUGAAACAGCAUCCUACCGGUCCUGCGCCUAGUGAAUGAUGACUCGCCAGAAAGCAAAGACGCAACCCUGCCUCCGUGUGAGCUUGGCGUGUGGCCCAGGAGGCUCCGUGAGCCUGCGUGCGUAAGGAUCGUGACGCCCACGCUUGAGAGCAGAGCUCAGUGCAAACUUCCAAUGGUUCUUCCAGUUUCCAGGGAAACGAGAUUUGGAGCUGCUGCAUGUUGCAGAGCUACCCCUCUCCUCCCCAGAGGGAGCCCUGCCAAUGGCUGGGUUUGGGGAGGAAGGGAUUGAGGACACCUACUCCAUGAAGGGAAAAAAAAUCAUGUUUGAAGUAUAUACUAGGCAGCAUGCCUCUAACAAAGACCUGCAUUGUAGUGGUUCUGGACAUACUAUUGUGGGAUUUGGAACUCAGCUUCUUGCUUGCCUGAAACAGGUAGGGAGUCUGAAUCAGAAGAGUCAAGCCAAGAAACAUCAAUCAUCCUGAAGGAGUCUUCAGAGGUUGAAGUUUCGGUGAAGCUGGCCAUGCCCAGGUAAAAAUAAAUUCUAUAAAACCACAAUUAAAUAAAUUAUAUUAAAAUAUGGGUAACAAAUACUUAAAGCAGCCACUUUCUAUUUUACCACACUUUUCUGUUCAGUUUUUUAAUUACUUAUUUAUGUAUUUUAUGUAUGAGUGCUCUAUCUGCAUGUCUGCUUAUAUGCCAGAAGUGGGCAUCAGGUCCCAUUGCAGAUGGUUGUGAGCUGUCCUGUGGUUGCUGGGAAUUGAACUCAGGAUCUCUGGAAGAGCACCCAGUGUUCUUAACUGUGGAGCCGUCUCUCCAGCCCUUUACCACACUUUUCUAUUACCUGUUUUCAGAAAUUGUGUCUAGCUAAGCAAAAAUGUGUAUUCUGCUCUGUGUUUCCCAACCCCUUGCUCAGUAGCUCUGGGUGAUAGCGUAUGGUUUACCACAGCAGGAGAAUUUAUACCACAGAAAUUAGCAGAUGAUGCGAGUCUGAUGGGGCUGACUGUUUUACUUAUAAAGUGAAGGGAAAUAUGAACGGUGCAGACUGGACUUAAAAUGGAUUGUGGCGAUAGCCAUCGUUUUAAGUCUAGAACAUGUUUCUUUUGGUGCUUGGGAGCCGUCACCUUGCAGUUAUAGCAUGCACAUUGUAUAUCUCUAAUGAAAGGCAUCCCAACAUGAUUCCCUCUUGUCCUCCAUGGAACUCAUCUACGUAUGUGAAAACAGCACCCAGCAUUCAAACCAGAGCAGCACCCUCUUGUCAGCGAUAGGAGCAAGCGUCCUGCUGAGUCAGAUGUAAUCAGGGUUUAUUCAUGUCCUAAUUUUGCGAUACUGUUGUCAGUGAUACAGUUACAAAAACAGUGGAUUUUGCAAGAAAUAGCAAGUCACAUUGAAGUCAUAAAAUAAAAAGCAAAUAAGUACUUUCAUUUAAAAUAUUAUUUCCAAACUUAUAUAAGAAAAUGCUUUUUUCCUAGUUUUUCCAUUUUUAAAAUUGCAUUUAUUUGUUCACUGUGUGUGUGCAUUUGCAUGUGGGAAUGUGACUGUAGUGGAAAACAUGUGGAGGUCAGAGGACAACUUGCAACAUCUGAUUUUCUUCUUCCACCUUGUGAGUUCUACAGAUCAAACUCAGGUCAUCAGGGUGGUAGCAAGUGCCUUUACCUGCUAAGCCAUUUCACUGGCCCAUUAAAUUGCUAAUAGAAUUUUUAUGUUAGCUCAAGUAAUGGCAUGAAUUUUAGUAAGAUUAUAAAACUGUUUCUCAUAUUUUGAUCUACCAAAUGCUAAUAAAACAGUAAUUUCUCACAUUCUUUCCCAUAAGAGACAGGUGAAAACAGAUACAGGAAAGAAUCUUGUGACCUUCAGUCCUGCACUGCUCAUUUUCUAAAGAUUUAGCAGACCACCAGGAUGCUCUGAGUGUCCAGGAAUAGUUACCAGGAAAGAUAUGGCUCCUGCUUCUUGAGACAGCUUUGUAGGAGAGGAAAAACACCAUCAUAUAGCUAAGGAAAUGCCUUACUAUAGCCUCCUGUUUUCAUCUGCCCUAUCAAGACCUUAUUCCAGCACGUUGAGAUUUUCAUGUCUCUUCUUUAAAGAAAGACAAGACCCACCCCAAACCUUGUACUCAGUUGAGAAAAACUCAUUCUUGCUUUGCCAAAACUGCAGAGCUGUCCUCACUGUCCACACCCAGGCCCUAAACAAUAGCCAAGUUCUGGGAAGACCUCUGCCCAGCAGCAGCUCCCUAGCCACCGGCACCUACAUUUCCCUCGAUAGUGCCUGUAGUCAUCUUUAUAGUCCUCAAGGGGCCAGCCAGCCUUUGAAAUGAGAGUCACUUAUAGUAGCUACUACUCAAAAUGUUUUUUGCUCUCCUUCAAAGUGAGCAAAAGCAAUUCUGUGUGGUUACACAUUAAUCUCCCUUAGUCCCUGGCUCACUCUGUCUCACUAUGUUCAGGGUACCUGUAGGGAAGCCUCCUCAUUCAGACUGUCCUAAGCUCCUUGUCUUUUCUAAGAUCCGUUUCCUCAUAAAAAUUUAACUAAAAAAGUGAGACAGGGUCUAUUAAUGGCCUGGAAUUCACCAAGUAGACUUGGUUAUUUGACUGUUGAGUUCAGGGAUCUGAAGACAGGGACCUGUUUGUUUACUCAUUGUUCUCAGUGUCAAUAACAGCAUCUGGCAUAUAGUACAUGGUCUGUGAAUAUUUGUAUAACUGAUUUUUAAAAUUUACACAAUUAAAAUUUGAAGAAUGUAAACUAUGA